AACGAACGCUGGCGGCAUGCCUAACACAUGCAAGUCGAACGAGACCUUCGGGUCUAGUGGCGCACGGGUGCGUAACGCGUGGGAACCUGCCCUUAGGUUCGGAAUAACUCCCCGAAAGGGGUGCUAAUACCGGAUAAUGUCUUCGGACCAAAGAUUUAUCGCCUUUGGAUGGGCCCGCGUUGGAUUAGCUAGUUGGUAGGGUAAAAGCCUACCAAGGCGACGAUCCAUAGCUGGUCUGAGAGGAUGAUCAGCCACACUGGGACUGAGACACGGCCCAGACUCCUACGGGAGGCAGCAGUGGGGAAUAAUGGACAAUGGGCGAAAGCAUGAUCCAGCAAUGCCGCGUGAGUGAUGAAGGCCUUAGGGUUGUAAAGCUCUUUUACCCGGGAUGAUAAUGACAGUACCGGGAGAAUAAGCUCCGGCUAACUCCGUG
RNAcentral lists this ribosomal RNA (433 nucleotides) under uncultured bacterium. RNAcentral describes it as "partial 16S ribosomal RNA". It matches the Rfam family "Bacterial small subunit ribosomal RNA", at positions 29 to 507 of the family's 1533-position model. The record is from RNAcentral.